RNAcentral lists this ribosomal RNA (382 nucleotides) under uncultured eukaryote. RNAcentral describes it as "partial 18S ribosomal RNA". It matches the Rfam family "Eukaryotic small subunit ribosomal RNA", at positions 592 to 976 of the family's 1831-position model. The record is from RNAcentral.
UGUAAGCGUAUACCAAAGUUGUUGCAGUUAAAACGCUCGUAGUCGGAAUUUGGCAGUUCCGGAUGUGUGCACGUCGUGUGCGCACUUCGCGGGGAUUGCUUUUGUGGUCUUGCGUAGGAUGAGGCACUUUUAUUAGUGAACGUCCUCACGCAACCACUUUUUACUGUGAGAAAAUCAGAGUGCUCAAAGCAGGCAUUUGCCGUGAAUGUAUUAGCAUGGAAUAAUAGAAUAGGACUUGGUUCUAUUUUGUUGGUUUGUUGGGACUGAGUAAUGAUUAAGAGGGACAGUUGGGGGCAUUUGUAUUUCGGUGCUAGAGGUGAAAUUCUUAGAAUACCGAAAGACAAACUGCUGCGAAAGCGUCUGCCAAGGAUGUUUUCAUUGA